GACGAACGCUGGCGGCGUGCCUAAUACAUGCAAGUUGAGCGCUGAAGGUUGGUACUUGUACCAACUGGAUCAGCAGCGAACGGGUGAGUAACGCGUGGGGAAUCUGCCUUUGAGCGGGGGACAACAUUUGGAAACGAAUGCUAAUACCGCAUAAAAACUUUAAACACAAGUUUUAAGUUUUAAAGAUGCAAUUGCAUCACUCAAAGAUGAUCCCGCGUUGUAUUAGCUAGUUGGUGAGGUAAAGGCUCACCAAGGCGAUGAUACAUAGCCGACCUGAGAGGGUGAUCGGCCACAUUGGGACUGAGACACGGCCCAAACUCCUACGGGAGGCAGCAGUAGGGAAUCUUCGGCAAAGGACGAAAGUCUGACCGAGCAACGCCGCGUGAGUGAAGAAGGUUUUCGGAUCGUAAAACUCUGUUGGUAGGGAAGAACGUUGGUGAGAGUGGAAAGCUCAUCAAGUGACGGUAACUACACAGAAAGGGACGGCUAACUACGUG
RNAcentral lists this ribosomal RNA (497 nucleotides) under uncultured bacterium. RNAcentral's name for it is "partial 16S ribosomal RNA". It matches the Rfam family "Bacterial small subunit ribosomal RNA", at positions 28 to 507 of the family's 1533-position model. The record is from RNAcentral.